RNAcentral lists this ribosomal RNA (171 nucleotides) under uncultured archaeon. RNAcentral describes it as "partial 16S ribosomal RNA". It matches the Rfam family "Archaeal small subunit ribosomal RNA", at positions 593 to 762 of the family's 1478-position model. The record is from RNAcentral.
UAGGAGGCGGGAGAGGCGGACGGUACUCCGCGUGUAGGGGUAAAAUCCUUUGAUCCGCGGAAGACCACCCAGUGGCGAAGGCGGUCCGCCAGAACGCGCUCGACGGUGAGGGAUGAAAGCUGGGGGAGCGAACCGGAUUAGAUACCCGGGUAGUCCCAGCCGUAAACGAUG